RNAcentral lists this non-coding RNA (28 nucleotides) under Bombyx mori (domestic silkworm). The record is from RNAcentral. Lineage: Eukaryota; Metazoa; Arthropoda; Insecta; Lepidoptera; Bombycidae.
UACUCAAGACGGCCAGUGACACACUAAC